Non-coding RNA from Apodemus sylvaticus (European woodmouse), 792 nucleotides. Lineage: Eukaryota; Metazoa; Chordata; Mammalia; Rodentia; Muridae. The record is from the annotation of a RefSeq genome assembly.
GGGGUGCUUACACCACACAGACCAGUAACCUUGCUUAUUCCUCUUAAGCAUAAAGUAUAGAUUAAGAUCUGGAUUGAAAGAGAACAGAAAAUCUCACUCAAGACAAGAGCUAACAACAUGCUGAUUCUAAGCCUGCUGGGAGCAGCCUUCAGCUCCAUUUGUUUUGCAACCAGCAUGGCCCAGAAGGUAAAGCAGACUCAGACUUCAAUUUCUGUGAUGGAGAAGAAGACAGUAACAAUGGACUGUGUGUAUGAAACCCGGGAUAGUUCUUACUUCUUAUUCUGGUACAAGCAAAGAGCAAGUGGGGAAAUGGUUUUCCUUAUUCGUCAGGACUCUUACAAUAAGGAAAAUGCAACAGAGGGGCGUUAUUCUCUGAACUUCCAGAAGUCAGAAAGUUCCAUCGGACUCACCAUCACAGCCACACAGAUUGAGGACUCAGCAGUAUAUUUCUGUGCUAUGAGAGAGGGCACAGUGGCAGAGGCAUCUACAAGAGCCCCACAAAAACCUCAACCAGAAAUGGAGGUUCCACAGACAGGAAGGGGUAGGGCCUGUGUUAGCACAGGAGUCUGGCAAUAAACCUUAGUACAAUUCAUGUGGGAUGUCCAUUUUAAAUCAGUUACCUGAGGCAUACAUGUUCAGGAGCAGCACAGGUCUGCACUAAGUCCUCUGCAUAUAUAUCAUGGCUUCCAGUUGAGUGUUUUUGUGGGAUUCCUGACUGUUCAAAUAAGUGGCUCUCUGAUUCUUGUGCCUUCUCUUGAGCUCUUUUCCUUCUCUUGGUUUAUCUUUUUCAAC